Long non-coding RNA from Balaenoptera acutorostrata (minke whale), 1322 nucleotides. RefSeq lists it as uncharacterized. NCBI's taxonomy places the organism in Eukaryota, Metazoa, Chordata, Mammalia, Artiodactyla, Balaenopteridae. The transcript is spliced from 6 exons. The record is from RefSeq and is a predicted model, not a curated record.
UCUCCCUUCCUUCCUCUUCAUCUCUCUCUUCCUUCCCUCCCUUGAUGCCUUCCCUCCCUCCCUCCUCCUUGCCCCCUCCUUCCUUUCUUCCUUUUUCUUUUCAUCACCCUUCCCCCUUUCCUGACUCCUCCCUUUUAGCCCACUUUCCCUAGCUUCUAUCUUCCCUUUAACAGUAUUUGUUGAACCCUGUACUGGAUGCCAGAUCCAGCAAAUCCAGCACCUUGGUAACUGAAGGACUGUAACUUAAAAAACAACAACAACAAAAAACUAAUGUGAUGAUAUGUAAAGGCCUCCAAGACCUUAAUUAAAACAACAUCAACAAAGUAUGGAGCAGAGUGUAUUAGAUCGCUUCAGCCAUCAUUGUCAGCAACAACCAAGUUGACAAUCCACGCUGUGAACCAGUUCUCCUGCUUGGGUGAUGUUGGGGUACUGGGGAACUCAUAGCUUCCUCAACAGAGAAGCUACACCAGGAGACAAACGCUGAGGAGGACCAGAUGAUGAAGGGCUGGGAGUCAGAAGCAAGAGUGGCUGGGCUGGAGAAUUGGAGUUGGCAUGGAUUCAGCAGACUAUGAACCCUCCUGAUGGGCUUGAUUUCAGGGUCUCAGAGAAACGAAGAGGGGAACAGAGGUUAACCAGUGACCUGGAAGAUUUCCAUAAAUGCCUGGAGCAAAAAAGAAGAAAUAUACUCUUCUGGUGUUUGCAGAUUGGCUCUAAGCUGGGUAACUCCUUCAAUGCUAUGCCAGGGAACUUCCAGACAAGUCAAAACACACCAUUACAACUUUUUGAGAGCAAGUUCUGUAUUGCCCUCCAGCUCCAGCAAGCCACACCAGGAAUGCAGACUGCCAUCCCCAUGGCUGCCACUGAGCUAGAGAAUGGGAGAUGAUAGGCAGGCCUCUGACCAAAUAGCCAAGCCACUCACGACUGCCCAUGCAUCCAUAUAAAGGCUAAUCUCAGGCUACUUCUCUUCCUGCACCAAUGGAAUGACCAGGCACACCACCCAAAGCUCUGCCAUUGGGAAGAUUUUCCCUCAUCUCUGUCUUUCAAGGCUGUAGAGGAGCAACAGUCCAUUUUUUGGUUUAUACCACGUCCUGAAAUGACCCAUCUGUGAACAAGCUUGGGCUUUUCGCUCUUCCAUCAUCUGGUCAAGAGUCUUCUCCAACCAUGAAGGCGUUGGUGGCAGCUGAAGGAGAAGAACCAGUGCAACAGUGGUGGAUCACAUGAAAGCGUGGGCUACCCAGUCAUGCAACUUCCUGUGCUUUCAGACCUUGCUUGUUCCUGAUCCUAGAUGUUCCACUUCUAUCAUAUAAUAAAUUGCUCUCGGG